This is a long non-coding RNA of Astatotilapia calliptera (eastern happy), 2107 nucleotides long. The record is from Ensembl. NCBI's taxonomy places the organism in Eukaryota, Metazoa, Chordata, Actinopteri, Cichliformes, Cichlidae.
AAAAAACACAAAGAAUCCCUCGAGUUCACGUUAUCAGUCUGUCAGCACAGGACUCUGUAACAUGCGAUCCUGUAACAGUCAACAAAGUCCUCGCAUGCAGACAAAACCCUUGUGUUAGCAGCUGCAUGUGGGCCGAAGAGUGUAGUUUCCACUCAAAGCUCGUGUUGAUUGGAGGCUACAGAGUGUACAACAUCAGCUGCCGGUGGUGAGGGCUGAGAUGUGUAUCUGGCUAACAAGACUCUACAUGUAGAGGCAUUUCACAGAACGACUCUGUGCUCGUCCACUUCUGUAUUUGAAAUUAAUCUUUUCCAGACCGCGACUGUUUUGUUGUCACCGUCGGUUUUAGCCCUAAAGCGAUUACACUCGUCUGUAACAGCUGCUUUUUCUUUGUCAUCACCAGCCCACACUUUAUUUUAGCGUCUGUAUGUGCGAGCUGGUGUUAAGCCCGUGUGAGGGCUGUGGAUGUGUUUUCCUGCAGCAGCCAUGAUGCACAUCUGUGAUCCGGGGAGAUGUUUUUGUCAGUUGUUGUUGCUACCCCUCACGCACGUAGCUUUUUUUUUUUUUUUUUUUUUUUGCAGUGGAUUAAAAGCUUUGGACAAAAGCAGACCGGGACAAAAAAAACCUGGGACGGCCUGCAUUUCCUGUUACCAAAUGCAUUCCAAAACCAGCGACCCCCACGCGAGCUGGCGGGGGAACCAACGAAAAAGGGAAUAGAAAAAACCAGCCUGUGUGAAAUCGCAGUUUCUUUUAUCCUUCCUCUUUUGUCAGCAUCUAUAUUAAACCACCUCCUACAUUUACUCUUCCUUUGCUGCCUUUCUUAACUUAUUGACAUUUUGAAUUGGACAGCGUCAGUAUUUCUUCUACACAAAGAGAACAUUUAACUGUGACAGCACGGCAAAUUAUUUUUAGCUCAUUCAACUGAUGCAUCCUCUGCCUGCUGAAUGAGCAAAGCAUUCUGGGGGUUUCUCAAAGCGGGAGAAUUGCAAGGUGAGCACGCCGAGAGGCGGUCAUGAAGCAAAGCGUGGACACCCCCUUAACCCCGACCACUCUAACCCUCGUGCUAAAGCCGGGGUGUCACCUCCCUUCCCCUCACGGAGCAGCAGCAGCAGCUGGCUGACCCGUCCCUCCACUGCAGCCUCUAAUGGCUGACCUGCCCUGUCUGGCCGGCCUCUGCUUGCUUUUGUGCGCCGUCUGCCUCAGUUCCUCCCCACUCAAACACUGCUGACGAGCCCCGUAUUCCCACAGAGCAAGCUGAGGUGAAGAAAAAGGAAUAUCCAGACAGACAGACAGACACGCAGACGCUUCACAAUUUGCACACUUUGUCCCGCACACAUAAUCCCUCUGCCCCCCCUAACACACACACACACACACACACACACACACACACACACACACACACACACACACACACACACACACACACACACAGCCUCUGUCUGCUUUCACAGUUUUGGACGAACCGUACCAAGCACCAGGUAAAGAGUGCUGCUUUAGCUGGAAAUGAAAACAUUUCUUUCUCUUGUUUUUACUAGUUUAACAAAUGUUUAAAUAAAAUAGCAGCUGUUAGUUUGAGUGAGAUUUUGAAUGGACUCAUGCUCCAAUUUGAAAGUACAGCAGAAAGAGUGAAAACAUGCUUGAAUCCGUCACGCUGGAAUUGAAAAAGACAGACGAAGAGUUCAAAUACUUACGUCAAGUGCGACCAAAAGUUCAGCGGCAGCGUGAAACUGUGGCGACGUUAGGAGGGAAAAAUCAAACGCGAGAGCAAAAAGCUUCCAUAUGUGAGGAGAAAGCUCGUUUAGACGGGCUGAGAAUUCACUGCUGAAAUGAGUUGAACGGGUUCCUCUCGCUCACUGUCUGCAUGUCUCUCCCACACACACACACACACACUCCUGACACGCAGUCUUUCAGCGUGAUCUCUCUGCCUCUAGUGGGAACUCAGCCAGUAGUUUGCAAAUACAAGUGCCUUACAAAUCUCUCCCCCUCUCUCACCCUCCCUACCUCCCGUUCCUUCCGUGCUUUUACACAGAUAAACAAGCACAUGCAUUCCCACAUGCAUGCACCCCCCACUUCCUUCACACACACACGCGCACACACAAGUCUGGCGACG